This 392-nucleotide ribosomal RNA is filed under the name uncultured bacterium. RNAcentral describes it as "bacterial SSU rRNA". It matches the Rfam family "Bacterial small subunit ribosomal RNA", at positions 32 to 416 of the family's 1533-position model. The record is from RNAcentral.
AAUCAACGCUGGCGGCGUGCCUCAGACAUGCAAGUCGAACGAUUAAAGCUCUCUUCGGAGAGUGCAUAGAGUGGCGCACGGGUGAGUAACACGUAAGUAAUCUACCUUCGAGUGGGGAAUAACGUCCGGAAACGGACGCUAAUACCGCAUAAUGCAGCGGCAUCGUAAGAUGACAGUUGUUAAAGAUUUAUCGCUUGAAGAGGAGCUUGCGGCAGAUUAGCUAGUUGGUAAGGUAAUGGCUUACCAAGGCUACGAUCUGUAACCGGUCUUAGAGGACGGUCGGUCACACUGACACUGAAUAACGGGUCAGACUCCUACGGGAGGCAGCAGUCGGGAAUUUUGGGCAAUGGGCGAAAGCCUGACCCAGCGACGCCGCGUGGGUGAUGAAGGCC